This 226-nucleotide ribosomal RNA is filed under the name uncultured bacterium. Its description in RNAcentral is "partial 16S ribosomal RNA". It matches the Rfam family "Bacterial small subunit ribosomal RNA", at positions 28 to 233 of the family's 1533-position model. The record is from RNAcentral.
GAUGAACGCUAGCGGCAGGCCUAACACAUGCAAGUCGAACGGGGAAACAUUUUAUUGAAGCUUCGGCAGAUUUAGUUUGUUUCUAGUGGCGGACGGGUGAGUAACGCGUGGGGUAACCUGCCUCACACUGGGGGGAUAACAGUCAGGAAAUGACUGCUAAUACCGCAUAAGCGCACGGAACCGCAUGGUUUUGUGUGAAAAACUCCGGUGGUGUGAGAUGGACCCG